This is a non-coding RNA of Candidatus Rokubacteria bacterium 13_1_40CM_2_68_8, 184 nucleotides long. Lineage: Bacteria; Candidatus Rokuibacteriota. The record is from Rfam.
AUGUCCCUGCGCUGUUUGUGAUGCCGGGGGGAAGUUUCAACCUCGUAAUCAAAUUGGGAGCUGUGGCAGAGGGUUGUGCGCAAGCCCCUCUCGAAGGGGAAGCCUAAAGCCCUCCAAUUAACGGCGCCCACCUGGUGAUACCAGGUUCGAAACACCGUCGGCACACGGCAGAGGCGGGGAUUUG